GGAGAUAUAGCUCAGUGGUACAGUGUUUGUCCAGUAUGUUUACCAAAAGCCCUGGGUUUGAGCCCUAGUAACACACA
This 77-nucleotide transfer RNA is filed under the name Marmota monax (woodchuck). Its description in RNAcentral is "tRNA.Thr". The record is from RNAcentral. Lineage: Eukaryota; Metazoa; Chordata; Mammalia; Rodentia; Sciuridae.